This 660-nucleotide ribosomal RNA is filed under the name Triticum aestivum (bread wheat). RNAcentral describes it as "partial small subunit ribosomal RNA". The record is from RNAcentral. Lineage: Eukaryota; Viridiplantae; Streptophyta; Magnoliopsida; Poales; Poaceae.
AUGUCAAACCGCUCUCUUGAUGUCCAUUUAUUUGGAAGCAACUCAAUGUUGAACUGGACUGCUAGGUAUCAGAUAGGCCUAGGUGUUGCAAGAGGUUUGGCCUACUUGCAUGACAACUGUCAAGACCGCGUCAUACACUGUGAUAUCAAGCCAGAAAACAUACUUCUUGAUUCUUCACUCCUUCCAAAAAUUGCAGACUUUGGGAUGGCAAAGCUUUUAGGAAGGGAUUAUAGCAGAGUAUUGACAACAAUGAGAGGAACUAUAGGAUACCUUGUGCCUGAAUGGCUUACCGGUGUUCAUAUUACACCAAAAGUCGAUGUUUUUAGCUACGGGAUGGUGUUGCUGGAAAUAAUAUCUGGAAGGAGGAACUCAUGUCCGUCAUGUCCUAGCUGUGGCAACACUGAUGUUUAUUUUCCUGUCCAUGCCGCACAUAAGCUUCUUGAAGGAGACGUCAGGAGUUUGGUAGAUCACGAGCUACAUGGUAUUGCCAAUCUAGACGAGGUUGAAAUUGCUUGCAAAGUUGCGUGCUGGUGCCUCCAAGACGAUGAACUUGAUCGGGCAACAAUGGGACAGGUGGUUCAGAUUUUCGAAGGGCUAGUUGAGAUCACAAUGCCCCCAAUACCAAGACUGCUCCAAGCUAUUGCUGGAAGCUCACAUUGA